UACGUAGGGGGCAAGCGUUGUCCGGAUUUAUUGGGCGUAAAGAGCGUGUAGGCGGCCAGACAGGUCCGUUGUGAAAACUCGAGGCUCAACCUCGAGAUGUCGAUGGAAACCGUCUGGCUAGAGUCCGGAAGAGGAGUGUGGAAUUCCUGGUGUAGCGGUGAAAUGCGCAGAUAUCGGGAAGAACACCUAUGGCGAAGGCAGCACUCUGGGACGGUACUGACGCUGAGACGCGAAAGCGUGGGGAGCGAACAGG
This 253-nucleotide ribosomal RNA is filed under the name uncultured bacterium. RNAcentral describes it as "partial 16S ribosomal RNA". It matches the Rfam family "Bacterial small subunit ribosomal RNA", at positions 524 to 776 of the family's 1533-position model. The record is from RNAcentral.